RNAcentral lists this ribosomal RNA (494 nucleotides) under uncultured bacterium. Its description in RNAcentral is "partial 16S ribosomal RNA". It matches the Rfam family "Bacterial small subunit ribosomal RNA", at positions 28 to 507 of the family's 1533-position model. The record is from RNAcentral.
GACGAACGCUGGCGGCGUGCUUAACACAUGCAAGUCGAACGGUGAAGCGCCUUCCUUUUUGGUGGGUGUGGAUGAGUGGCGAACGGGUGAGUAACACGUGAGUAACCUGCCCCCUUCUUCUGGAUAACCGCAUGAAAGUGUGGCUAAUACGGGAUAUUCUGGGUCUGUCGCAUGAUGGGUCUGGGAAAGAUAUUGUUUCGGUGGGGGAUGGGCUCGCGGCCUAUCAGCUUGUUGGUGGGGUGAUGGCCUACCAAGGCGGUGACGGGUAGCCGGCCUGAGAGGGUGGACGGGCUCGCUGGGGCUGAGACACGGCCACGUCUCGUACGGGAGGCAGCAGUGGCGAAUAUUGCACAAUGGGCGCAAGCCUGAUGCAGCGACGCCGCGUGCGGGAUGGAGGCCUUCGGGUUGCGAACCUCUUUCGCCAGUGAAGCAGGCCUGCCUCGUUUGUGGGUGGGUUGACGGUAGCUGGAUAAGAAGCGCCGGCUAACUACGUG